Molecule: ribosomal RNA, 1369 nt
Filed under: uncultured organism
Description: 16S ribosomal RNA
Rfam family: Bacterial small subunit ribosomal RNA
Source: RNAcentral
UAGUGGCGGACGGGUGAGUAACGUGUGGGCCACCUGCCCUGUACUGGGGAAUAAUCAUUGGAAACGAUGACUAAUACCGCGUGUGGUUCUCGCAAUGCAUCUUCUGAGGAAGAAAGGAUUUAUUCGGUACGGGAUGGGCCCGCAUCUGAUUAUCUACCUGGUGAGAUAACAGCCCACCACGGCGACGAUCAGUACCCGACCUGAUAGGGUGAUCGGCCACUUUGGGACUGAUACACGGCCCAAACUCCUACGGGAGGCAGCAGUGGGGAAUAUUGCACAAUGGACGAAGAGCCUGAUGCAUCAACGCCGCGUGAACGAUGACGGGUUUCGGCUCGUAAACUUCUAUCAGUAGGGAAUAAACAAAUGACGGAACCUAAAUAAGAAGCCCCGGCUAACUACUUGCCAUCAGCCGCGGUAAUACGUACGGGGCAAGCGUUAUCCGGAAUUACUGGGUGUAACGGGAGCGUAGGCCGCAUGCUAAUCCAUAUGUGAAAGCCUUGGGCUUAACCCGGAGGAUUGCAUUUGAAAUAUCAAACUAGAGUACAGGAGAGGAAAGCGGAUUUCGUAGUGUAGCGGUGAUAUGCGUAGAUAUUAGGAAGAACACCAGUGGCGAAGGCGGCUUUAUGGACUGAAACUGACGCUGAGGCUUGAAAGUGUGGGGAGCAAACAGGAUUAGAUAUCGUGGUAGUUCACGCCGUAUACGAUGAGUGCUAGGUGUCGGGGAGGAAUCCUCGGUGUCGCAGCUAACGCAAUAAGCACUCCUCAUGGGGAGUACGACCGCAAGGUUGAAACUCAAAGGAAUUGACGGGGGCCUCGCACAAGCGGUGGAGCAUGUGGUUUAAUUUGAAGCAACGCGAAGAACCUUACCAAGGCUUGACAUCCCGAUGACCGUCCUAGAGAUAGGACUUCUCUUCGGAGCAUCGGUGACAGGUGGUGCAUGGUUGUCGUCAGCUAGUGUCGUGAGAUGUUGGGUUAAGUCCCGCAUCGAGCGCAACCCUUAUCUUCAGUAUCCAUCAUUCAGUCGGGCACUAUGGAGAGACUGCCGUGGAUAACACGGAGGAAGGUGGGGAGGAUGUCAAAUCAUCAUGCCCCUUAUGUUUUGGGAUACACACGUGAUACAAUGGCUGGUAACAAAGUGACGCAAGACGGAGACGUUAAGCAAAUCACAAAAAUCCAGUCCCAGUUCGGAUUGUAGUAUGCAACUCGAGUACAUGAAGCUGGAAUCGAUAGUAAUCGCGAAUCAGCAUGUUGCGGUGAAUACGUUCCCGGGCCUUGUACACACCUCCCGUCACACCAUGGGAGUUGGAAGCACCCGAAGUCGGUGACCUAACAGUAAGGAAGGAGCCGCCGAAGGUGAAGCCAGUGACUG